This 618-nucleotide ribosomal RNA is filed under the name uncultured bacterium. Its description in RNAcentral is "bacterial SSU rRNA". It matches the Rfam family "Bacterial small subunit ribosomal RNA", at positions 104 to 718 of the family's 1533-position model. The record is from RNAcentral.
GGGUGAGUAAUGCCUAGGAAUCUGCCUGGUAGUGGGGGAUAACGUCCGGAAACGGACGCUAAUACCGCAUACGUCCUACGGGAGAAAGCAGGGGACCUUCGGGCCUUGCGCUAUCAGAUGAGCCUAGGUCGGAUUAGCUAGUUGGUGGGGUAAUGGCUCACCAAGGCGACGAUCCGUAACUGGUCUGAGAGGAUGAUCAGUCACACUGGAACUGAGACACGGUCCAGACUCCUACGGGAGGCAGCAGUGGGGAAUAUUGGACAAUGGGCGAAAGCCUGAUCCAGCCAUGCCGCGUGUGUGAAGAAGGUCUUCGGAUUGUAAAGCACUUUAAGUUGGGAGGAAGGGCAGUAAAUUAAUACUUUGCUGUUUUGACGUUACCGACAGAAUAAGCACCGGCUAACUCUGUGCCAGCAGCCGCGGUAAUACAGAGGGUGCAAGCGUUAAUCGGAAUUACUGGGCGUAAAGCGCGCGUAGGUGGUUCGUUAAGUUGGAUGUGAAAUCCCCGGGCUCAACCUGGGAACUGCAUUCAAAACUGACGAGCUAGAGUAUGGUAGAGGGUGGUGGAAUUUCCUGUGUAGCGGUGAAAUGCGUAGAUAUAGGAAGGAACACCAGUGACGA